UGAAGACACUGCAGAUCCGAUCUGAAUAUAAAUUAUGAAUCACAAAUGUGUCAGUUCUCACCUGUGGUUUGAUUGGUGGGAGUAGUUUGAAUGGCAGGGGCUGGGGUUAGAAGUCCUGCCCCUUACCAAUAUGGGGGCUGGAAGGGUAUAAAAUGUAUUUUGGUGGCCAGUCAAGCAUAAGGAAGUCAAAAGCACGUUUGCUGGUUGCUUUAUGUCUGCUGCACAGUUUCCCACAUAGACCUGUGCUAAAGAUGCUGUCACGAAAUCUUGUAAUUGCCUCAGUGGCUGUUGUGCUUCUGGCGUCCACCCUAUCUACGGCUCCUGUUGAAGAUAAGGAGCCUGAAGAAAAUGACUUUGAGGCUGAAGAGGGUGAAGAAGAACUGUCUGAGGAGGAAGAGGAUGAUGAUGACUCCAAAGGUCAGCAUAUAAAGGGAGCCGGAUCGCAGCAGGCCACUGCAGCACCCAAAGGCUUGGGUAUGACUCCUGGCAGCGCUGUUGCGGGCGAAUCCCCAAAUGGUAAGGAAAGUCUACUCGAUAACGCAAAAACAAGUUCUGUACGGAGUGCAUUAGCCUCCCAUGGCCUCCGGUGA
This is a long non-coding RNA of Cyprinus carpio (common carp), 590 nucleotides long. The record is from Ensembl. Lineage: Eukaryota; Metazoa; Chordata; Actinopteri; Cypriniformes; Cyprinidae.